UACGUAGGGGGCUAGCGUUGUCCGGAUUUAUUGGGCGUAAAGAGCGUGUAGGCGGCCUGGUAGGUCUGCUGUGAAAACUCGAGGCUCAACCUCGAGAUGUCGGCGGAAACCAUCUGGCUAGAGUCCGGAAGAGGAGAGUGGAAUUCCUGGUGUAGCGGUGAAAUGCGCAGAUAUCAGGAAGAACACCGGUGGCGAAGGCGGUUCUCUGGGCAUUACCUGACGCUGAGGAGCGAAAGUGUGGGGAGCGAACAGG
Molecule: ribosomal RNA, 253 nt
Filed under: uncultured bacterium
Lineage: Bacteria
Description: partial 16S ribosomal RNA
Rfam family: Bacterial small subunit ribosomal RNA
Source: RNAcentral